ACUUCCGGCGAUGCCUAAAACAUUCGAUCUCUCUUAAGCUAGGUUUAGUUUGCUGUGUUUUUACUAUGUUUGUAUAUGAUCUUUUAGAAUCGUUUUGUAGCUGAUUGGAUUCGCCUCUCAGAUUGAAUUUCCUGUAGAGUAUUCAAUAUCUACGGGAUGAUUCUUUCAUCGAUUUUAUUCGUGAGGCGAUAGAUUAUUGCAGGGGCGUUGAGUCGCUUCGUCUAUGUUUAACCAGGCAUAGCGAAUAAGCUCGUGCUAUAUCCUAAUCAGUUAUCGUUUCUUUUUUAAAAAAGCUUAUUGAAGGAUCCUAUGAUGGCAUGAAAUCUUUGAGACCUGAUUUUUUAUUGAUGAAAAGC
Molecule: long non-coding RNA, 356 nt
Organism: Arabidopsis thaliana (thale cress)
Lineage: Eukaryota; Viridiplantae; Streptophyta; Magnoliopsida; Brassicales; Brassicaceae
Product: other RNA
Exons: 1
Source: RefSeq